CGGGUGCGGAACACGUGUGCACCUGCCUUAUCUGGGGGAUAGCCUUUCGAAAGGAAGAUUAAUACCCCAUAAUAUGUUGAAUGGCAUCAUUCGACAUUGAAAACUCCGGUGGAUAGAGAUGGGCGCGCGCCAAGAUUAGAUAGUUGGUUGAGGUAACGGGCUCACCAAGUCUACGAUCUUUAAGGGGGCCUGAAAGGGUGAUCCCCCAACUGGUACUGAGACACGGGACCAGACUCCUACGGGAGGGCAGCAGUUUUUUUUUGUUGGUGGGGGGGGUGAAAAACAAAAAAAUAAUUGGGGGGGUGAAAAUAAAACAAAAAAAAAAGUAAAGAAAAAAAAAAAAAAUUUUUAAAAAUUUUUGGGGGAACCAAAUGGGUUGAGAGCCUUGAUUCCCAGCAAAUUCCCCCGGGUUGGAAGGGGACCGACUUUUGGGCGCCCCCCUUAAAUGGGGUUGUAAACUUCUUUUGUAUAGGGAUAAACCUACCCUCGUGAGGGUAGCUGAAGGUACUAUACGGAAUAAAAGCCAACCCCGGGGGGGUAAAACUUUCCCCCGGUUUGGCCCCAAGCAGCCGGGGUAAUACGGAGGGUGCAAGGCGUUAU
This 600-nucleotide ribosomal RNA is filed under the name uncultured bacterium. Its description in RNAcentral is "partial 16S ribosomal RNA". It matches the Rfam family "Bacterial small subunit ribosomal RNA", at positions 103 to 539 of the family's 1533-position model. The record is from RNAcentral.